CCGCUUUGGUGACUCUUGAUNACCUCGGUGCCUGAUCGCGCGCCCUCUGCGGCGCGCGACGUCUCAUUCGACAUGUCUGCCCUNUCAACUUUCGGUGGUACUAUAGUGCGCCUACCAUGGUGACCACGGGUAACGGNGAAUCANGGGUUCGAUUCCGCGAGAGGGAGCCUGAGAAACGGAAUACCACAUCCAAGGAAGGCAGCACGCGCGUUUAUACCCAUUACCCGACACGGGGAGGUAGUGACGAACAAAUAACGAUACAGGUCUCUUUCGAAGGNACCUAGUAAAUCAGCGAAUCGAGCGUAUCCUAAA
This 312-nucleotide ribosomal RNA is filed under the name Hoplias malabaricus (trahira). RNAcentral describes it as "bacterial SSU rRNA". The stretch from base 1 to 248 matches the Rfam family "Eukaryotic small subunit ribosomal RNA", at positions 238 to 474 of the family's 1831-position model. The record is from RNAcentral. Lineage: Eukaryota; Metazoa; Chordata; Actinopteri; Characiformes; Erythrinidae.